Molecule: ribosomal RNA, 253 nt
Filed under: uncultured bacterium
Lineage: Bacteria
Description: partial 16S ribosomal RNA
Rfam family: Bacterial small subunit ribosomal RNA
Source: RNAcentral
UACGUAGGGUGCGAGCGUUAAUCGGAAUUACUGGGCGUAAAGCGUGCGCAGGCGGUUUUGUAAGCCAGGUGUGAAAUCCCCGGGCUCAACCUGGGAAUGGCAUUUGGGACUGCAAGGCUGGAGUGCGGCAGAGGAGACUGGAAUUCCUGGUGUAGCAGUGAAAUGCGUAGAUGUCAGGAGGAAUACCGAUGGCGAAGGCAGGUCUCUGGGCUGACACUGACGCUCAUGCACGAAAGCGUGGGGAGCAAACAGG